Long non-coding RNA from Columba livia (rock pigeon), 373 nucleotides. RefSeq lists it as uncharacterized. Lineage: Eukaryota; Metazoa; Chordata; Aves; Columbiformes; Columbidae. The record is from RefSeq and is a predicted model, not a curated record. The transcript has 3 exons.
CAUCUUGUGGCAGCGGGCUGUGCCGCUCGCCGUGUGUUCGCCGAGGCCGGUGCUGCUGCCGGCCCGGCCUGGCCCGCCUCGCCGGGGGAUGGAACGUGCCCAAGGCCUCUCCGCACUGUGGGCUCCGCUCCGACCCUACGUUCUUCAGUAAGUUGAUUUAUCUCAGAGAAGUGGAAAGGUUUUUGUGUCCCUACUGGAUCCAUCCAGCACCCAGUCCUGGACAUAGCUUUGUAAGGAGUGAUACUUUAAAACCCAGCUACCUGAAAUUGAACUGCUGGAUGCUGGAAGAACAUGGGUGUCUCAUCUCACUGACGUCAAAGACUUCAAAGAGUACAGAGGUUGGAGUUUGAAGGCAUUGUUUACGAUAUGGAGU